AAAACUAGCAUCAAAUUGACAAUGUAACUCCCAAAAUUGUCAACUGUGCUUAUUUUCAAAUUUAAAGAAGCAUGAUCCUUCAAGAGGCCAAAACUUGUACAUCACUCCAAUUCAUCCUCUUACUUGUACACCAAGGAGGGAAAACAAUCCCCAUUGGACACUCCUACAACAGCUACCUCGACCUUGUCCCAUUAAUAUUUAAUGAUGAAGUACCUAAUAAUAUUUUUCCUAAAUGGUCCACCUCAGUGUUACUGAGAGUGCAAUUUGUUAUGGGAACAAG
RNAcentral lists this unclassified non-coding RNA (280 nucleotides) under Hevea brasiliensis (rubber tree). Lineage: Eukaryota; Viridiplantae; Streptophyta; Magnoliopsida; Malpighiales; Euphorbiaceae. The record is from RNAcentral.